UUGUUUUGUUACAAGGGCGUACGGUGGAUGCCUUGGCAUGCUUAGCCGAUGAAGGACGUGUGAGGCUGCGUUAUGCCUCGGGGAGUUGCCAACAAAGCGUUGAUCCGAGGAUGUCCGAAUGGGGAAACCUGGCACUUGUUAUGGAGUGUUACCUGCAGAUGAAUGUAUAGUCUGUGUGGGGGUUACGCGGGGAAGUGAAACAUCUCAGUACCCGUAGGAGAAGAAAACAAUUGUGAUUCUGCUAGUAGUGGCGAGCGAACGUGGAUGAGGCUAAACCAUGCGUGUGUGAUACCUGGCAGGGGUUGCGCGUGUGGUGUUGUGGGCGAUGAUUGUGGGUAUGCUGCCAUGUACCCCUAUGAUGCGGCGUGUUAGCGGAAGUCACCUGGGAUGGUGUGCCGGAGAGGGUGAGAGCCCCUGUACGUGAAGGCGUGUCGUGUUGUGGUGAUUGUUUGCCCGAGUAGCAGUGGGCUCGUGGAAUCUGCUGUGAAUCUGCCGGGACCACCCGGUAAGCCUAAAUACUAAGUGUGACCGAUAGUGGAUAAGUACCGUGAGGGAAUGGUGAAAAGUACCCCGGGAGGGGAGUGAAAGAGUUCCUGAAACCGUGCGCUUACAAUCCGUCAGAGCACCGCGUGUGUGUGAUGGCGUGCCUUUUGAAGAAUGAGCCUGCGAGUCAGCGGCAUGUCGCGAGGUUAACCCGUGUGGGGUAGUCGUAGCGAAAGCGAAUCCUAAUUGGGUGUUGUAAGUGGCAUGUCCUGGACCCGAAGCGGGGUGAUCUACCCAUGGCCAGUGUGAAGCAGCUGUAAGAGGUUGUGGAGGCGCGAACCCACUUAGGUUGAAAACUGAGGGGAUGAGUUGUGGGUAGGGGUGAAAGGCCAAUCAAACUCCGUGAUAGCUGGUUCUCCCCGAAAUGCAUUUAGGUGCAGCGUUAUAGUAGUUUGCCGGAGGUAGAGCUACUGGUUGGUUGAGCGGGACUAUCAUCUUAGCAACAUCAGCCAAACUCCGAAUGCCGGUUAAGUGUUCUAUAGCAGUGAGACUGUGGGGGAUAAGCUUCAUAGUCGAGAGGGAAACAGCCCAGAUCGCCGGUUAAGGCCCCUAAGGGUGUACUAAGUGGAAAAGGAUGUGGGAUCGCGAAGACAGCCAGGAGGUUGGCUUAGAAGCAGCCAUCCUUGAAAGAGUGCGUAAUAGCUCACUGGUCGAGUGGUUCUGCGCCGACAAUGUAGUGGGGCUCAAGUACACCGCCGAAGCCGCGGCAUAGUUUUUGCUAUGGGUAGGGGAGCGUCGUGCAUGGGGUGAAGCCAUACUGUAAGGGGUGGUGGACUGUGUGCGAGUGAGAAUGCAGGCAUGAGUAACGAGAGAUACGUGAGAAUCGUAUCCGCUGGAUGACUAAGGGUUCCUGGGUCAAGUUCGUCUUCCCAGGGUGAGUCGGGUCCUAAGGCGAGGCCGACAGGCGUAGUCGAUGGUCAACGGGUUGAUAUUCCCGUACCCGUAUGCAUGCGACAAAGAGUGAAGCGGUGAUACUAACCACCCUGAACUGGCAACAUGCGCAUCCUUUUGGGUGUGUGGUUGUUGGUGAUGCGUGGGGCCUGAUCCGUGGUAGUUCAGUGAUGGGGUGACGCAGUCAGGUAGCCGCGCCAAGUGUUGGAUAUCUUGGUGUAAGCGUGUGGCACGUCGACUUGUGAAAUGCGGUCGAUAUUUUGUGUGAGGCGUGAUGCGUAGCCCAAUUGUUGGGUGAUGGUGGUGAUCCUUUGCUGUCGAGAAAAGCCUCUAGCGAUGUAUGUGUAUGGCCCGUACCCGAAACCGACACAGGUGGUCAGGUAGAGAAUACUAAAGCGGUCGGGUGAACUGUGGUUAAGGAAUUCGGCAAAUUGCCCCCGUAACUUCGGGAGAAGGGGGGCCCUUGCUGGUUGCAUGCCUUUUUCGGUGUGUUGCUGGUGGGGGUCGCAGAGAAUAGAGGGGAGCGACUGUUUAUCAAAAACACAGGUCCGUGCGAAGACGGUUAAGUUGAUGUAUACGGACUGACGCCUGCCCGGUGCUGGAAGGUUAAGAGGACCUGUUAGGAC
RNAcentral lists this ribosomal RNA (2060 nucleotides) under Corynebacterium pseudogenitalium. RNAcentral describes it as "partial 23S ribosomal RNA". It matches the Rfam family "Bacterial large subunit ribosomal RNA", at positions 1 to 1896 of the family's 2925-position model. Lineage: Bacteria; Bacillati; Actinomycetota; Actinomycetes; Mycobacteriales; Corynebacteriaceae. The record is from RNAcentral.